AAAAAAUUUAAUUUUAGUUUAAAAAUUAAAUAUUAUUAUUUAUUAAAUAUAAAUUUUAUUUAAGAAGAAAAAGUAGUAAUUAAAAUUAAUUAUUAAGGAAAUUUAGAAUUAGAAAAUAUAAUAGUAUUAACUUAAUUUGUGCCAGCAGUUGCGGUUAUACAAAUAAUACAAUUUAAUUUUAUAAAUAUUAAUUAAUUUUUUAUAAAUUAAUUUUAUUUAAAAAUUUAUUAAGUGAAAUUUUAAAUUUUUAAAAAAUUAUUUUUUUAAAAAUGAAGUUAAUAAAAUUUAGUAUUAAACUAGGAUUAGAUACCCUAUUAUUUAAAAGAUAUAUAAAAAAAUAUUGAAUGAUUAUAAGAUAUAUUCUUUAAAAUUAAAAAUUUUGGCGGUAUUUUAGUCUUUUCAGAGGAACCUGUUCUAUAAAUGAUAAUCCACGAUUUAAUUUACUUUUUUUUUAAAUUUAUAUAUCGUCGUAAUUAAAUAUUUUUAUAGAAUUUUAAUAUUUAAGAUUUUUAAUUUGAAUAUAAAUCAGAUCAAGAUUUAGUUUAUAAAAAAGUAGAAAUGGGUUACAUUAAAUAUAUUUUUAGAUUAAUUAUAUUAUUAUAAUUAUAAAAUUGGAUUUGAAAGUAAAUUUAAUUAAUUUAUUAAUUUGAUUUAGCUCUAAAAUAUGUACAUAUUGCCCGUCGCUUUCAUUUAAUGUGAAAUAAGUCGUAACAAAGUAGAUUUACUGGAAAGUGAAUCUAGAUUCAA
RNAcentral lists this non-coding RNA (747 nucleotides) under Monolepta hieroglyphica. The record is from RNAcentral. Lineage: Eukaryota; Metazoa; Arthropoda; Insecta; Coleoptera; Chrysomelidae.